AUUGAACGCUGGCGGCAGGCCUAACACAUGCAAGUCGAGCGGUUGAGAGUAGUUUGCUACUUGAUGCAGCGGCGGACGGGUGAGUAAUGCAUGGGAAUCUGCCUGGUAGUGGGGGACAACGUUUCGAAAGGAACGCUAAUACCGCAUACGCCCUACGGGGAAAGGGGGGAUCUUCGGACCUCUCGCUAUCAGAUGAGCCCAUGUCAGAUUAGCUAGUUGGGGGGUAAAGGCCCACCAAGGCGACGAUCUGUAACUGGUCUGAGAGGAUGAUCAGUCACACUGGAACUGAGACACGGUCCAGACUCCUACGGGAGGCAGCAGUGGGGAAUAUUGGACAAUGGGGCGAAAGCCUGAUCCAGCCAUGCCGCGUGUGUGAAGAAGGCCU
This 385-nucleotide ribosomal RNA is filed under the name uncultured bacterium. RNAcentral describes it as "bacterial SSU rRNA". It matches the Rfam family "Bacterial small subunit ribosomal RNA", at positions 30 to 417 of the family's 1533-position model. The record is from RNAcentral.